AUUGAACGCUGGCGGCAUGCCUUACACAUGCAAGUCGAACGGCAGCACGGGUGCUUGCCCCUGGUGGCGAGUGGCGAACGGGUGAGUAAUACAUCGGAACAUGUCCUGUAGUGGGGGAUAGCCCGGCGAAAGCCGGAUUAAUACCGCAUACGAUCUACGGAUGAAAGCGGGGGACCUUCGGGCCUCGCGCUAUAGGGUUGGCCGAUGGCUGAUUAGCUAGUUGGUGGGGUAAAGGCCUACCAAGGCGACGAUCAGUAGCUGGUCUGAGAGGACGACCAGCCACACUGGGACUGAGACACGGCCCAGACUCCUACGGGAGGCAGCAGUGGGGAAUUUUGGACAAUGGGCGAAAGCCUGAUCCAGCAAUGCCGCGUGCGUGAAGAAGGCCUUCGGGUUGUAAAGCACUUUUGUCCGGAAAGAAAUCCUUGGCCCUAAUACGGUCGGGGGGAUGACGGUACCGGAAGAAUAAGCACCGGCUAACUACGUG
This 487-nucleotide ribosomal RNA is filed under the name uncultured bacterium. Its description in RNAcentral is "partial 16S ribosomal RNA". It matches the Rfam family "Bacterial small subunit ribosomal RNA", at positions 30 to 507 of the family's 1533-position model. The record is from RNAcentral.